Molecule: non-coding RNA, 869 nt
Filed under: Loxodonta africana (African savanna elephant)
Lineage: Eukaryota; Metazoa; Chordata; Mammalia; Proboscidea; Elephantidae
Description: Eukaryotic small subunit ribosomal RNA
Rfam family: Eukaryotic small subunit ribosomal RNA
Source: Rfam by way of RNAcentral
CUGGAUCCUGUCUUAGGGGAUUGUUGCCUACGCCAAGCUCACAAAGAUUUUCUGUUUUUUUUUAAAUAAGCCUGAUAGUUUUAGCCUUUACCUUUAUGUCUGUGAUCCAUUUUUAAUUAACUUUUGAGUGUGGUAUGAUGGUAGGCAAGGCAAGUACCAUCAAUAGGGAAUCAGGAUUCAAUUCUGGAGAUGAAGCUUGAGAAACUACCACAUCCAAGGAAAGCAGUAGGCACACAAAUUACCCAUUCCAGACCUGGAAAAGCACCGUAAUUGGAAUGAAUACACUUUAAAUCCUUUAAUGAGGAUCUCUUGAUGUGCAAGGGUAUUGCUAGCAGCCACUAAUUCCAGCUCCAGUAGCAUAUAUUAAAAUUGCUACAGUGAAAAAGCUUGUAGUUGCAUCUUGGAAGUGGGUAUGUGGGCAUACCCAACUACACGUAUCUGUGCCCCUUGCCUCUUUCUUGGUGCCCCUUUGAUGUUCUUAACUAAGUGUCCUGUGGGUCCUGAAGUAUUUACUUUGAAAAAAAAUUAGAAUGUUUAAAGCAGGCUCAAGCUGCAGGAUACUGGAGCUAAAAAUAUGAGAAUAGGAUCCUUUGUUUCUGUUUUUUAGGUUUCUGGAACUGAAGCCAUGAUUAAGAGGGGGUAUUAGUAUUGUGCCACUAGAGUUGAAAUUCUUGAAACUAUGCAAGAUGGACCACAGCAAGAGCAUUUACAAAGAAUGUUUUCAUUAAUUAAGAAUGAAAGGCAGAAGAGGUUCAAAAACCAUCAACUACCGUCAUAAUUCCAACCAUAAAGGGUGCUGACCCAUGAUGGGGAGACUUUAUUCCCAUAACUUGCUGGUUAGCUUCCGGGAAGCCAGUCUUUGGGUUCUG